Molecule: long non-coding RNA, 453 nt
Organism: Cucurbita maxima (winter squash)
Lineage: Eukaryota; Viridiplantae; Streptophyta; Magnoliopsida; Cucurbitales; Cucurbitaceae
Exons: 3
Source: RefSeq, a predicted model, not a curated record
GCUUUUGGGAAAGUUCCAGGGGAGCAUCUUGUCAAGACAGAAGAUGGAAAAACAAUUCAAGCAUCUAAAAAACAGAAUCAUCUCAUUAUUAAACCAAACCAUUUCUCAGCUAACCAAAAAGUAUGUGGAGCUCACGAAAUUGAAAACAAGAAUGCUAAAGCAAAUAUAUCAUGGCCAUCAAGGAAGCAGAGCCAAAAACCAAAUGCAAUUACCGAUGAAAUACUUAAGUGUUCUCCAUCCACCAUACAAAAUGAUGAAUUCCCCGAUUGGGAGAUUGUUUAGAUCUAUGGAAUAAAUGGCAUCAGUAAGCUAAUUUUAGUAUUGCCUUCCUUCUACAAGCAGAGGAAGUGAACACAAGGCAACUAAAUUCAUGUGAUGCUCCCAAUAAUAAUCCCACAAGGAUUUAUCCUGUAAUGCUAUGCUAGUCAUUUUGUAGCUUUCAGUGCUUUUCAA